This 248-nucleotide ribosomal RNA is filed under the name uncultured Burkholderiaceae bacterium. RNAcentral describes it as "partial 16S ribosomal RNA". It matches the Rfam family "Bacterial small subunit ribosomal RNA", at positions 431 to 671 of the family's 1533-position model. The record is from RNAcentral. Lineage: Bacteria; Pseudomonadati; Pseudomonadota; Betaproteobacteria; Burkholderiales; Burkholderiaceae.
CACUUUUGUCCGGAAAGAAAUCCUUUGGGUUAAUACCUCGGGGGGAUGACGGUACCGGAAGAAUAAGCACCGGCUAACUACGUGCCAGCAGCCGCGGUAAUACGUAGGGUGCAAGCGUUAAUCGGAAUUACUGGGCGUAAAGCGUGCGCAGGCGGUUUUGUAAGACGGAUGUGAAAUCCCCGGGCUUAACCUGGGAACUGCAUUCGUGACUGCAAGGCUAGAGUAUGGCAGAGGGGGGUAGAAUUCCA